CAGUGUCUCCGGCGUGUCCUGCAUCUCGGCAGCCAGCUCCUCUGCAGCUCAGGCCCCGUGAGUCACAGCCGCUUCCUCAAAUGCUUUGGCUGACCGCAUCCCCCCGCUCCGCCAGAACCCUGGAUGCCGGAGCCCUCCCAGCGAGAGCCGUGUUUAUUUUACUUUACAUACAUUUUCCAACCCGGAGCGGCUUCAACACAUGCAGCUCUUAGGCCCGGGCCGCACAUCUCAGAAGCCCCGUGUGCGACUUUGACUGCCGCACGAUCCUCUGCCGGGGGAGGUGGGCCCGCUGCGCUUUGGGAGCACCCGCGCCCGACACUGAGGUCUCGGUGCUGUCUUCGGCCUCUUCGCCCCUGAGGGUCCCCUCUGGGAGCAGAGGCGGUCGGAAAACCCUGGGGCUGAAGUGCAGGCUUCGGGAGGACGCGACCUGCCAAGAUCAGCUCCCGGCACGUGAUGGGAGCCUGGCUCACCUUCCCCCAGCACACGAUGGGGCUGCAGCCUCCCCGGUCAGCCUGGCCUGCUGGAAAGGAGCAGCUCUGUCUCCAGAGGCUUCUGGCGAAGCCCAUGGCCUCCCAAUGUUGGCUGAUUUAUAAGGAAAGAGGGGAAAGGCCAAGUGUGGAUGCCAUUAGCAUAACCUAAUCCAGACCCCAUGACAAGUCCAGGAUCCUGCAGGGAGAGGGCAUCCUUGAACGUGAAGGACUGGGUUUGGAAACUUGGCCUCCCGGAAGAAAGGUCUCCGGGCCCACCCACACCCCCCUUGUGGACGCCCCCGCAGUCUAAUACACUCCACAGUAAGACGGACCAGGAACAGCAGCAGCCUCCGGUGUCGGCCCAGUGAUCCGGGAGCUCAGAGUGUAGGUACCUGACGGCUUGACUCGUCCCCAGGACAAGGCCUGUGAGUGGGAGAGGGGCACUCUGAGUGUGCGAAUCUGUGAGAGUGUGUGUGUGUCUGGGCACGAGUGUGUAUGCGUGUGUGUGCAUGUAUAUUCACAUGUGUGAGGGUGUGAAUGUGUGUGUCUGUGGGUCUGGGCACAUGAGUGUGUGUGUGCAUAUACUACAUUCACGUGUGAGUGUGCAAAUGCGAGUGUGUCUGUAGGUCUGGGCACGUGUAUGCGUGUGUGUGCGAGUACUAUAUUCGCAUGUGUGAGUGUGCGAAUGUGUGUGUCUGUGGGUCUGGGCACACGAGUGUGUAUGCGUGUGUGUGCAUGUACUAUAUUCACGUGUGUGAGUGUGCGAAUGUGUCUGUGGGUCUGGGCACAUGAGUGUGUGCAUAUACUAUAUUCACGUGUGUGAGUGUGCAAAUGUGUGUCUGUAGGUCUGGGCACAUGUGUAUGCGUGUGUGUGCGAGUACUAUAUUCACGUGUGUGUGAGUGCGAAUGUGAGUGGGUGUGGGUCUGGUCACAUGUAUGUAUGCAUGUGUGCAUGUAUUAUAGUCAUGUGAGUGUGCAAAUGUGUGUGUGGGUCUGGGCACACAAGUGUGUAUGCAUGUGUUUCUAUUGUAUUCAUGUGAGUAUAAGUGCAAAUGUGUGAGUGUGUGUUCUCUGCACACACAAGUGUAUAGGUAUGUGUUUGUGUGUGCAUGCACUGUAUUCAUGUGAGUGUAUGUGAAUGUGUGACUGUGAGAGUUUGAGUGUGCCUGGGUGUCUGGCUAUACUAGUGCAUGUCUGUGUUCGUGUGCAUCAGUCUGGGUGUGCCCGUGUGUGAAUGUGUCUAUGCGUGGGUGUCCCAAUAUGUGUGUGCCUGUGUAUCCAUGUCUGGGUGUGCCUGUGAGUGUGAGUGUGCGCAUGGGUGUCUGGAUAUGUGAGUGCUUGUGACUACCUGUGUGUGUAUCCAUGUCUAGGUGUGCCCGUGGGUGUGAGUGUGUCUGUGCGUGGGUGUCUGGAUACGUGUGUGCCUGUAUGAGUGUGUAUCCAUGUCUGGGUGUGCCCACGGGUGUGAGUGUGAAUAUGUAAGUCUUGCGUGUGCAUGAGUGUGUUCACAUGAGUGUGAGGGUCUGUGCAUAAGAGCCUAUUGUGAGUGCAUGUGGAUUGCAUUUAUGUGAGUCCGUGUCUGUGUGCACGCACGUGUCCCCGCACAAGCCAGCCCGAGAGGGAGUGUCCCCUGAACACACCCUGGCAGCACUUGCAGCGUGAUGAGGUUGAGGGAAUGUGUCGCUGAGGUCGUAAAUGCCUCUCGCACGUCCCAACACGCUGGAGCAACAGCAGCCCGUGAUGCCGGCCGCGCAGCCGUGAAGUCCGUGGAGCGUCCCUAAUCACUGGGGGUUCUGCUUUGCGGUGACAGCGGUGCUACUCACAGCUCCAGAACUCUGCAGCUUCCCCCCUGAAACGGGAACGGGAAGGUGGCGCGGGCGUCCACACCUCGAGCCACAGCCGGCGGGAGGCACAGGCUGGCAAAACUGCCUCUCAGUAGUGAGAAGAGACAAACAAACCGAACGCCAGGAGCAGAGGAAACGAAGACGAUGUGGCCAAGAAAAAUUGCAUUUUUCUUUCCAGUUUUGCUAAAAUAGCCUUCUCAUUGGCUGCGGCUUUGGAGGUGGCAGAAAUCAUACGUUUAAUCACGGCGCCCUCCUGCUUGCCAAGCUUUGCGUCCUCCAGAAUUGUCCUGUGAGUGACUCCCGCAGGAUGGAGACUUUUGUGUCUGGCUUCCUUCACUUCGCAGCAGGCUUCGCGGGACCCGUGUGGUGGCACCAGCGUCCAGCCCUUGAAACCCAUGAAAGAGGAUCCUGAAAGAGCAAGGGCAGCCUCCAGGUGAAGGUGGUGGGCGGCCUCCAGGUGAAGGCGGCCUCCAGGUGAAGGUGGUCAGCACCCUACCUUUGGCCAAGAGCAGACUGCAGUUUCAACUCAAAGAUUAUUCCUGAAUGAGUGAGUGACUGCAUCUCUCUUCUCCUCACCCCUGCUGUGGUUGUGUCUCCUCUUCAAGAAAAACCAAUAUGUGGAAAGGCCUAAGUCUGCACAAAACAAAUAUUUAUUUUACAAAAUAUUGUUUUUUGCUUUUCCAGUGCAGCAAGCUUAAACUUCCUUAAAAACAAACCUCUGGGAAGAGGAAAAUGAGGCAAGAUGCUGAGAAAAAGUCAUCUCCCACUCUGCCCUUCUCUGGCAAAUCGAAGUGUCCUCUUGUGGGAGGCGGUGGGCAGCGACACUCCCGUUGGACGUCAGUGCUCUCGGGCCCGGCCACCCCGGAGCAGAACUCACUUAGGGCCUGGUGCCCCUGUGCCCAGUUCUCAGAAUGUCGGAGUGCUCAGUUCUCAGAACGCCGGAGUGCCCCAUUCAUAACCUGCAGCCCCGUUCAUAGCCUGCAGCUCCCCUCCUUCCUCUCCUCCUGGUCUUCAGGGAGCACCCCCAGCUCCCCUCCCCACUCUCAAACCCUCCUCCUCCCUCCCCUCUCUCAGUUCCCUGUUUGCAGGAUCUCCUCCUGCCCACUCUCCAGCCCAGGUCCUCCCCUCUCAUCUCCAAUUCUGCUUCACGGGCCAUGACAGCAGGCAGGCCAUGGCCUGCUCUCAGCAGUUUGAUCGAUGGACUAAGGAGAUCACUCCUACGAGAGUGAAAAAGUCAAGUGUGCCUGAGAUUCGGAUGGGGAGCUCUCAAAGCUAUGGAUUGCAAGAGUCAACACCGCCUCAAAAGUACAAGGCCGGCCGGGUGCAGUGGCUCACACCUUUAAUCCCAGCACUUUGGGAGACUGAGGUGGGUGGAUCACCUGAGGUCAGGAGCUCAAGACCAGCCUGACCAACAUGGUGAAAUCCCGUCUCUAUUAAAAAUACAAAAAAAAUUAGCCAGGUGUGGUGGUGCAUGCUUGUAGAUCCAGCUACUCGGGAGGCUGAGGCAGGGGGAGCACUUGAACCCGGGAGGUGGAGGUUGCAGUGAGCCGAGAUUGCGCCAUUGCACUCCAGCCUGGGCAACAGAGUGAGACCCUGCCUCAAAAAGAUAAAAAAAUAAAAGUACGAGGCCCGGUUUAAAUGCAGGAGGAAUCUGGUGAGCGAGUUUCACUCUGAUGCAACAGAAAAGCCAAGCCAAGCCUUGGCUGUGCCUGAUCUUGGCCGGGGAGCCACAGGCAGGGUCUGCUGGUUUCGGUGUCAGGGGCACAUCGCCAGGACCACGUGUGAGAUGGGAAGUGCCUUGAUGGAAAACUGAUACCUUUUUCUUUCCGAGUAACUUUAGAAUAUGUCGCUUCAAAUAUAACUAAUAUCCUGAUUUCAAUGGACUUGCAUGGAAGGAAACGCAAGUUCAUUUGCCAGUGGGGGGUGAGGACUGGGAGAGUGGGGAGCAGGGUGGGGAAGAGGGGACCAUUCCACAAGCUGCAAGAGCCUGGACACCUCCAGCCUUCAAUAAAUAGCAUUUGAAUUUGCUGUGCCUAAUUCAACCUUGCAUUUGUGUAGUGAAAGUCAGGCCCACGGUGUGUAUAGUUUGGCACAUGAGUUCAGCUCGGGUCCCCUUGAUCUGCUUCUAUGUUCUCACUCUCUCCCUGCCCGGCAUGCCCCUCUUUUUCUAUCCAGAUGAGCGAAGGGGUGAAUUAGUCCAGAAAUGUUUCUGCUCCAGUCAAACAAACAUUAUCACCUGUCAGUCAAACAUUAUCACCUGUCAGUCACCAGAGACGUGCACAGGUGCCUUCUCCUUUGCCUCGAGGUUUCUAUGACCUGGGAAAAGCCCAUCCCAUUCCCGGAUGAGGCUUCCCUGCGACCGGCCACAGACACACGAGCUACGCCCCGCCUUGCCAAAACUUUCAAGGUGGGAUGGAAGAAUCUGUCGUUUCUGCAUUUACGACCCCGUACGUGUUCCGUGCUGCAUCUGUUCUGGUUGGGUUGUCUCUCCUCUCAAGGCCUCUUUUGACCCAAACUUACUGCAAAGCAGAUGAGUGAGCCAGAAGCUGCGCUGGGCGUUGGGGGUUGUGGCAGAGGCUGGGGCUGUAUGUGGGCCGGCAGGCCACGGGCCGACCCACCGCAGGCAGCUUAGCAA
RNAcentral lists this long non-coding RNA (4949 nucleotides) under Homo sapiens (human). Its description in RNAcentral is "HSALNT0385207". The record is from RNAcentral. Lineage: Eukaryota; Metazoa; Chordata; Mammalia; Primates; Hominidae.